This 73-nucleotide transfer RNA is filed under the name Hofstenia miamia. Its description in RNAcentral is "tRNA-Lys for anticodon UUU". It matches the Rfam family "tRNA". From Rfam's summary of the family: Transfer RNA (tRNA) molecules are approximately 80 nucleotides in length. Their secondary structure includes four short double-helical elements and three loops (D, anti-codon, and T loops). Lineage: Eukaryota; Metazoa; Xenacoelomorpha; Acoela; Hofsteniidae. The record is from RNAcentral.
GCCCUGUUAGCUCAGUUGGUAGAUCAUUGGACUUUUAAUACAAUGGUCGUGGGUUUGAGACCCACAUAGAGCG